UACGGGGGGGGCAAGCGUUGUUCGGAAUUACUGGGCGUAAAGGGCUCGUAGGCGGCCAACUAAGUCAGACGUGAAAUCCCUCGGCUUAACCGGGGAACUGCGUCUGAUACUGGAUGGCUAGAGGUUGGGAGAGGGAUGCGGAAUUCCAGGUGUAGCGGUGAAAUGCGUAGAUAUCUGGAGGAACACCGGUGGCGAAGGCGGGUUUCUGGGCAGUAACUGACGCUGAGGAGCGAAAGCGUGGGGAGCGAACAGG
Molecule: ribosomal RNA, 253 nt
Filed under: uncultured bacterium
Lineage: Bacteria
Description: partial 16S ribosomal RNA
Rfam family: Bacterial small subunit ribosomal RNA
Source: RNAcentral